This 116-nucleotide small nuclear RNA is filed under the name Oncorhynchus mykiss (rainbow trout). RNAcentral describes it as "U5 spliceosomal RNA (ENSOMYG00000073135.1)". It matches the Rfam family "U5 spliceosomal RNA". From Rfam's summary of the family: U5 RNA is a component of both types of known spliceosome. The precise function of this molecule is unknown, though it is known that the 5' loop is required for splice site selection and p220 binding, and that both the 3' stem-loop and the Sm site are important for Sm protein binding and cap methylation. The record is from RNAcentral. Lineage: Eukaryota; Metazoa; Chordata; Actinopteri; Salmoniformes; Salmonidae.
UGACUCUGGUUUCUCUUCAUUACGCACAAGCCUUUCGCCUUUUACUAAAGACUCCCGUGGAGAGGACACAUUACGAGUUCCACGUAUUUUUGGAGCGCUUUGCUUCUUGCAGAGCC